CCCCACUGCUAUCGGGAUGGGACUAAGACAUGCUAGUCGAGCGUCUCCAAGCUAUGGAAGAGACGCGGCGCGCAGCUCAGUAACACGUGGCUAACCUUCCCUUGGGACAAGGACAACUCCGGGAAACUGGGGCUAAUCCAUGACAAGUGAGAACUCCUGGAAUGGAUUCUCGCUGAAAGGACGUUUAGACCAUGCUUCUAGGCGUCGCCCAAGGAGGGGGCCGCGACCGAUCAGGUUGUUGGUGAGGUAACGGCUCACCAAGCCUUUAACCGGUACGGGCCGUGAGAGCGGGAGCCCGGAGAUGGAAUCUGAGACAAAAUUCCAGGCCCUACGGGGCGCAGCAGUUGCGAAAACUCCGCAAUGCACGAAAGUGUGACGGGGCUACCCCGAGUGCCGUCCGCUGAGGACGGCUUUUCUUCAGUGUAACAAGCUGGAGGCAAUAAUGGGAGGGCAAGAAUGGUGUCAGCCGCCGCGGUAACACCAACUCCUUGAGUGGUGGGGACGAUUAUUGGGCUUAAAGCGUUCGUAGCCAGCUUGAUUUGUCCCGCGUUAAAUCCAGCGACCUAAUCGUUGGGCUGCGUGGGAUACAUUCAGGCUUGGAGGCGGGAGAGGUUAGCGGUACUCUAGGGGUAGGGGUAAAAUCCUGUAAUCCCUGGGGGACCACCAGUGGCGAAGGCGGCUAACCAGAACGCGCUCGACGGUGAGGGACGAAAGCUGGGGGAGCGAACCGGAUUAGAUACCCGGGUAGUCCCAGCUGUAAACGAUGCGGGCUAGCUGUUGGGAUGGCUACGAGCCCUCUCAGUGGCGCAGGGAAACCAUUAAGCCCGCCGCCUGGGAAGUAAGAUCGCAAGAUUGAAACUUAAAGGAAUUGGCGGGGGAGCACCACAAGGGGUGAAGCUUGCGGUUU
This 907-nucleotide ribosomal RNA is filed under the name uncultured archaeon. RNAcentral's name for it is "bacterial SSU rRNA". It matches the Rfam family "Archaeal small subunit ribosomal RNA", at positions 21 to 903 of the family's 1478-position model. The record is from RNAcentral.